RNAcentral lists this ribosomal RNA (459 nucleotides) under uncultured bacterium. RNAcentral describes it as "partial 16S ribosomal RNA". It matches the Rfam family "Bacterial small subunit ribosomal RNA", at positions 338 to 795 of the family's 1533-position model. The record is from RNAcentral.
CCUACGGGUGGCUGCAGUGAGGAAUAUUGGUCAAUGGCCGGAAGGCUGAACCAGCCAAGCCGCGUGAAGGACGAAGGUGCCAAGCAUUGUAAACUUCUUUUGUCAAGGGACAAAAUCAGGCUCGAGAGCCUGACCGAGGGGACUUGUAGAAAACGCAUCGGCUAACUCCGUGCCAGCAGCCGCGGUAAUACGGAGGAUGCGAGUGUUAUCCGGAUGUAAUGGGGUUAAAGGGUGCGUAGGCGGACUGUUAAGUCAGCGGUAAAAGCCCGGGGCUCAACCCCGGCGAGCCGUUGAAACUGGCUGUUUUGAGAUGUCGAGAGGUAUGCGGAAUGCGCAGUGGAGCGGUGAAAUGCUUAGAGAUUGCGCAGAACUCCGAUUGCGAAGGCAGCAUACCGGCGGCGAUAUGACGCUGAGGCACGAAAGCGUGGGUAUCGAACAGGAUUAGAUACCCGUGUAGUC